CGGCGGACGGGUGAGUAACACGUGGGUAACCUACCUAUAAGACUGGGACAACUUCGGGAAACCGGAGCUAAUACCGGAUAAGAUAUCGAAACACAUGGUUCGAUAGUGAAAGAUGGUUUUGCUAUCACUUAUAGAUGGACCCGCGCCGUAUUAGCUAGUUGGUGAGGUAACGGCUCACCAAGGCAACGAUACGUAGCCGACCUGAGAGGGUGAUCGGCCACACUGGAACUGAGACACGGUCCAGACUCCUACGGGAGGCAGCAGCU
RNAcentral lists this ribosomal RNA (266 nucleotides) under uncultured Staphylococcus sp. Its description in RNAcentral is "partial 16S ribosomal RNA". It matches the Rfam family "Bacterial small subunit ribosomal RNA", at positions 96 to 355 of the family's 1533-position model. Lineage: Bacteria; Bacillati; Bacillota; Bacilli; Caryophanales; Staphylococcaceae. The record is from RNAcentral.